RNAcentral lists this unclassified non-coding RNA (201 nucleotides) under Hevea brasiliensis (rubber tree). Lineage: Eukaryota; Viridiplantae; Streptophyta; Magnoliopsida; Malpighiales; Euphorbiaceae. The record is from RNAcentral.
AUCAUCAUUACAGCUCGACAAUGACAAGUCAUGCCUCUAACAACAAGUAUCCUUGCCUCUCUACAAGCUACAAGGUCCACAUCUUACCAAACAGAAAAUAGGUAAAUCUUUAAUGUCCUUCAAAACAAAUCCAGGUCACUUCCUUACAAAUGAUAAAUGAGCAAACUUUGCUUUAUCACCAAUUUACAAGAGCAAAAACAG